This is a long non-coding RNA of Onychostoma macrolepis, 905 nucleotides long. RefSeq lists it as uncharacterized. The record is from RefSeq and is a predicted model, not a curated record. Lineage: Eukaryota; Metazoa; Chordata; Actinopteri; Cypriniformes; Cyprinidae. The transcript has 5 exons.
AUACAUCCAGUAGAAUCUUUCAACGGUUUUAACGUCAUUAACGCUCAGUAAGAGCUGGUUAAAGUCUUCUCGCUGCUUGUAAAGAUGGCUCUAAUCAAAUGUAUUAAAUUGUGGAGAGCAGCUGGUGUUUUCAGUUACCUGCAGUAGCUGAAUCUUCCAGCAGAUGGCAGCUGGUCACUGUUGAGAAUUGUUGAAUGUCCUCUUUAAAAGCUCUGCCGACCUUUCUGACGUCGUCUCCAACAUGAUGUUAUGAGCUGCUUCUCACAUUGAAAAACUGACAAGCCAUUUUCCAGCUCAGAUCCAAACCAAACAAGGCCAUUGCAUAAGGACCCAUUGAAGAGUUUGACACACGCACAGAGGAAAAGAGAUGAUGUGACCGCAUGAGGAGCUCUGAUAAUCCGCCCACUGCCACAGCAAUGAACUAAUCCACCUCCUCUCCUGAUUGGCUGACAGCCCGUUGUUUUGAUUGGGAUUUCAACAUGCUAAUUGGCCGCGCAAAGUUGGCGUAAGUGGGUGAUGAAGAGGCUGAGGGGUGCUUGGGUUUGGACAGCUGUUGAAGAAGAAGAGGAGGGUGAAGGAAAGAAAGACGGAGAUAAAGGAGUGCACGUGGGCCGAGACAAAAGCGCAUGUCAGACUCUCUGCAGCCUGUUGACUGAGAUAAGCAUAGCUGCAACUUGAGGAGGCGGCGAUUCUCCGCCUACGGGACCUCAGCGCCGCCGCCAUUUGGGACGGCUUUUCUGCAGAUGUAUGAUGCACGUAUAUGUGUGUUUGUUCAAUUACGGACAUUUUUAGAGUUCCAGGGGUUGAUUUUUAUUAAAACAAACAGAGUUGGUUAUAUGAAGGACACAUUAACACAGUCAUGGAAACUUAUUUUUGCUGUUUUAUGGUUUUCUCUUGUCCUAGAC